UGUCUGGCGGCAAUAGCGAGUAGGAACCACCCGAUCCCAUCCCGAACUCGGAAGUGAAACUGCUCUGCGCCGAUGGUAGUGUGGGGUCUCCCCAUGUGAGAGUAGGUCACCGCCAGGCAUUA
RNAcentral lists this ribosomal RNA (122 nucleotides) under Thioalkalivibrio sp. ALJ1. The record is from RNAcentral. Lineage: Bacteria; Pseudomonadati; Pseudomonadota; Gammaproteobacteria; Chromatiales; Ectothiorhodospiraceae.